Molecule: ribosomal RNA, 497 nt
Filed under: uncultured bacterium
Lineage: Bacteria
Description: partial 16S ribosomal RNA
Rfam family: Bacterial small subunit ribosomal RNA
Source: RNAcentral
GACGAACGCUGGCGGCGUGCCUAAUACAUGCAAGUUGAGCGCUGAAGGUUGGUACUUGUACCAACUGGAUGAGCAGCGAACGGGUGAGUAACGCGUGGGGAAUCUGCCUUUGAGCGGGGGACAACAUUUGGAAACGAAUGCUAAUACCGCAUAAAAACUUUAAACACAAGUUUUAAGUUUGAAAGAUGCAAUUGCAUCACUCAAAGAUGAUCCCGCGUUGUAUUAGCUAGUUGGUGAGGUAAAGGCUCACCAAGGCGAUGAUACAUAGCCGACCUGAGAGGGUGAUCGGCCACAUUGGGACUGAGACACGGCCCAAACUCCUACGGGAGGCAACAGUAGGGAAUCUUCGGCAAUGGACGAAAGUCUGACCGAGCAACGCCGCGUGAGUGAAGAAGGGUUUCGGAUCGUAAAACUCUGUUGGUAGAGAAGAACGUUGGUGAGAGUGGAAAGCUCAUCAAGUGACGGUAACUACCCAGAAAGGGACGGCUAACUACGUG